RNAcentral lists this ribosomal RNA (497 nucleotides) under uncultured bacterium. RNAcentral's name for it is "partial 16S ribosomal RNA". It matches the Rfam family "Bacterial small subunit ribosomal RNA", at positions 28 to 507 of the family's 1533-position model. The record is from RNAcentral.
GAUGAACGCUGGCGGCGUGCCUAAUACAUGCAAGUCGAGCGAACGGACGAGAAGCUUUCUUCUCUGAUGUUAUCGGCGGACGGGUGAGUCACACGUGGAUAACAUACCUAUAAGGCUGGGAUAACUUCGGGGAACCGGAGCUAAUAACGGAUAAUAUUUUGAACCGCAUGGUUCAAAAGUGAAAGACGGUCUUGCUGUCACUUAUAGAUUGCUCCGCGCUGCAUUAGCUAGUUGGUAAGGUAACGGCUUACCAAGGCAACGAUGCAUAGCCGACCUGAGAGGGUGAUCGGCCACACUGGAACUGAGACACGGUCCAGACUCCUACGGUAGGCAGCAGUAGGGAAUCUUCCGCAAUGGGCGAAAGCCUGACGUAGCAACGCCGCGUGAGUGAUGAAGGUCUUCGGAUCGUAAAACUCUGUUAUUAGGGAAGAACAUAUGUGUAAGUAACUGUGCAGAUCUUGACGGUACCUAAUCAGAAAGCCCCGGCUAACUACGUG